Molecule: small RNA, 74 nt
Filed under: Salmonella enterica
Lineage: Bacteria; Pseudomonadati; Pseudomonadota; Gammaproteobacteria; Enterobacterales; Enterobacteriaceae
Description: partial RtT sRNA
Rfam family: RtT RNA
About the family: This family represents a bacterial cis-regulatory element known as RtT RNA.
Source: RNAcentral
AUAUCUCUCCGUACGGGAAGGAUGAGAAGCUUCGACUAAGGUUCGAUUCGAGCGCAGCGAGAAAGCGUUGUCGC